Molecule: ribosomal RNA, 459 nt
Filed under: uncultured bacterium
Lineage: Bacteria
Description: partial 16S ribosomal RNA
Rfam family: Bacterial small subunit ribosomal RNA
Source: RNAcentral
CUACGGGAGGCUCCAGUAAGGAAUAUUGCGCAAUGGAGGCAACUCUGACGCAGCCAUGCCGCGUGCAGGAAGAAGGCCUUAUGGGUCGUAAACUGCUUUUAUUUAGGAAUAAACCCCCGAACGUGUUCGGGGCUGAAGGUACUAAACGAAUAAGCACCGGCUAACUCCGUGCCAGCAGCCGCGGUAAUACGGAGGGUGCAAGCGUUAUCCGGAUUUAUUGGGUUUAAAGGGUGCGCAGGCGGGCUAUUAAGUCAGUGGUGAAAUCCCGGGGCUCAACUCCGGAACUGCCAUUGAUACUGAUAGUCUUGAGUUUGGUUGAAGUGGGCGGAAUGUGGCAUGUAGCGGUGAAAUGCAUAGAUAUGCUACAGAACACCAAUCGCGAAGGCAGCUCACUAAGCCAAAACUGACGCUCAUGCACGAAAGCGUGGGGAUCAAACAGGAUUAGAUACCCCCGUAGUC